GCCCUCAUGGUCAAGCGGUUCAAGACGUCGCCCUCUCACGGCGGAAACUAGGGUUCGAUUCCCUAUGGGGGUA
RNAcentral lists this transfer RNA (73 nucleotides) under Firmicutes bacterium CAG:475. It matches the Rfam family "tRNA". Rfam says of the family: Transfer RNA (tRNA) molecules are approximately 80 nucleotides in length. Their secondary structure includes four short double-helical elements and three loops (D, anti-codon, and T loops). Further hydrogen bonds mediate the characteristic L-shaped molecular structure. tRNAs have two regions of fundamental functional importance: the anti-codon, which is responsible for specific mRNA codon recognition, and the 3' end, to which the tRNAs corresponding amino acid is attached (by aminoacyl-tRNA synthetases). tRNAs cope with the degeneracy of the genetic code in two manners: having more than one tRNA (with a specific anti-codon) for a particular amino acid; and 'wobble' base-pairing, i.e. permitting non-standard base-pairing at the 3rd anti-codon position. Lineage: Bacteria; Bacillati; Bacillota. The record is from Rfam by way of RNAcentral.